GCAAGUCGAGGGGUAACAGGGAGGUGCUUGCACUUCCGCUGACGACCGGCGCACGGGUGCGCACCGCGUAUGAAACCUACCUUUUACAGGGGAAUAGCCUUUGGAAACGAAGAUUAAUGCCCCAUGGUACCUUUCGUAGCAUUACGGGACGGUUAAAGGCUUCGGCCGGUAGAAGAUGGUCAUGCGUCCCAUUAGCUUGAUGGUAAGGUAACGGCUUACCAUGGCAACGAUGGGUAGGGGCCCUGAGAGGGGGAUC
RNAcentral lists this ribosomal RNA (256 nucleotides) under uncultured bacterium. RNAcentral's name for it is "partial 16S ribosomal RNA". It matches the Rfam family "Bacterial small subunit ribosomal RNA", at positions 57 to 305 of the family's 1533-position model. The record is from RNAcentral.